Molecule: ribosomal RNA, 492 nt
Filed under: uncultured bacterium
Lineage: Bacteria
Description: partial 16S ribosomal RNA
Rfam family: Bacterial small subunit ribosomal RNA
Source: RNAcentral
AGUGAACGCUGGCGGUAGGCCUAACACAUGCAAGUCGAACGGCAGCACAGUAAGAGCUUGCUCUUACGGGUGGCGAGUGGCGGACGGGUGAGGAAUACAUCGGAAUCUACUUUUUCGUGGGGGAUAACGUAGGGAAACUUACGCUAAUACCGCAUACGACCUACGGGUGAAAGCAGGGGAUCUUCGGACCUUGCGCGAUUGAAUGAGCCGAUGUCGGAUUAGCUAGUUGGCGGGGUAAAGGCCCACCAAGGCGACGAUCCGUAGCUGGUCUGAGAGGAUGAUCAGCCACACGGGAACGGAGACACGGACCAGACUCCUGCGGGAGGCAGCAGUGUGGAAUAGGAGGCAAUGGUCGCAAGCCUUAUCCAGCCAUACCGCGUGGGUGAAGGAAGCCUUCGGGUUGUAAAGCCCUUUUGUUGGGAAAGAAAAGCAGCAGGUUAAGACCCCGCUGUUCUGACGGUACCCAAAGAAUAAGCACCGGCUAACUACGUG